CCUACGGGAGGCAGCAGUCGAGAAUCUUUCACAAUGGGCGCAACCCUGAUCCUGCGACGCCGCGUGGGGGAAUGAAGCUCUUCGGUUUGUAAACCCCUGUCCUGUGGGAGCAAAUUAAACAGCUAGUACCACAAGAGGAAGAGCCGGCUAACUAUGUGCAGGCAGCCGCGGUACUAGAGAGGGCUCAAGCGCUGUUCGGACUAGCUGGGCUUAAAGCGUUCGUAGGCAGGUGCGUCAGUCGUGUGGUAAAGACGCGGGCUCAACCCGCGGACGGCAAAUGAUUCUGGGAGACUAGAGUAGUGGAGGGGUAACCGGAAUGCGCGGUGUAGCGGUGAAAUGCGUAGAUAUCGAGAGGAACACUGGUGGCGAAGGCGGGAUCCUGGACAUUAACUGACGCUGAGGCACGAAGGCGAAGGGAGCGAAAGGGAUUAGAUACCCUAGUAGUC
This 446-nucleotide ribosomal RNA is filed under the name uncultured bacterium. RNAcentral describes it as "partial 16S ribosomal RNA". It matches the Rfam family "Bacterial small subunit ribosomal RNA", at positions 338 to 795 of the family's 1533-position model. The record is from RNAcentral.